GCGGUGGCUCAAUGGUAGAGCAUCUGCUUGCCUUGCAGAAGGUCCCAGGUUCGAUCCCUGGCAUCUCCA
Molecule: non-coding RNA, 69 nt
Organism: Euleptes europaea (tarantolino)
Lineage: Eukaryota; Metazoa; Chordata; Lepidosauria; Squamata; Sphaerodactylidae
Source: the annotation of a RefSeq genome assembly